UAGAGGAAGUAAAAGUCGUAACAAGGUUUCCGUAGGUGAACCUGCGGAAGGAUCAUUAACGAGUUUGAAAUCGAGAGCCUGUUGCUGGUGCGGAAACGCACAUCGUGCACGGCUCCCGUGCUCAAUCCAUUUCAACCCCCUUGUGCACCUUAUCGAAGUCAGUAGUCUUUCUCUUUUUGUUUGCCGGUUGUGUGCGGGAACCUCUUUCUGUUCACUUGGCCGGCGAGGAGAAAUAGAGGGUCGAAAGCUUUGACUUUUCUGUUAAACACUUUGUAUGUCUUGUGGAACGUAUUAGCUCCUUUGUAGGGGCGAAAUAAAUACAACUUUCAACAACGGAUCUCUUGGCUCUCGCAUCGAUGAAGAACGCAGCGAAAUGCGAUAAGUAAUGUGAAUUGCAGAAUUCAGUGAAUCAUCGAAUCUUUGAACGCACCUUGCGCCCCUUGGUAUUCCGAGGGGCAUGCCUGUUUGAGUGUCAUGUUAAUCUCAAACCCCUUGUCUUUUUUGUUGACUUGGUCGGUUUGGACUUGGAGGUGUUGCUGGCGUGCGUCGGCUCCUCUUAAUUGCAUUAGCUGGACUUUGGUUCGCAUUUGACGGUGUAAUAGUAAAGUGUUCGCCGGGCGUGCUUGCCUAACGGGUCUGCUUCUAAUCGUCUUCGGACAACUCUGUUCAUUUUGACCUUUGACCUCAAAUCAGGUAGGACUACCCGCUGAACUUAAGCAUAUCAAUAAGCGGAGGAAAAGAAACUAACAAGGAUUCCCCUAGUAACUGCGAGUGAAGCGGGAAGAGCUCAAAUUUAAAAUCUGGCGGCUUUCGGUCGUCCGAGUUGUAAUCUGGAGAGGCAUUUUCCGCGCUGGACCGUG
RNAcentral lists this ribosomal RNA (860 nucleotides) under Phellinus sp. YD-2015. RNAcentral's name for it is "eukaryotic LSU rRNA". The stretch from base 322 to 475 matches the Rfam family "5.8S ribosomal RNA". Lineage: Eukaryota; Fungi; Basidiomycota; Agaricomycetes; Hymenochaetales; Hymenochaetaceae. The record is from RNAcentral.